UACGGAGGGUGCAAGCGUUAUCCGGAAUCACUGGGUUUAAAGGGUGCGUAGGCGGUCAGAUAAGUCAGUUGUGAAAUACCCCGGCUUAACCGGCGGAACUGCGAUUGAUACUGUUUGACUUGAAUCAGGUUGAGGUAGGCGGAAUGUGGCAUGUAGCGGUGAAAUGCGCAGAUAUCAGGAAGAACACCCGUGGCUAAGGCGGCUCUCUAGUACGGUACUGACGCUGAGACGCGAAAGCGUGGGGAGCGAACAGG
This 254-nucleotide ribosomal RNA is filed under the name uncultured bacterium. RNAcentral describes it as "partial 16S ribosomal RNA". It matches the Rfam family "Bacterial small subunit ribosomal RNA", at positions 524 to 776 of the family's 1533-position model. The record is from RNAcentral.